Molecule: ribosomal RNA, 274 nt
Filed under: uncultured bacterium
Lineage: Bacteria
Description: partial 16S ribosomal RNA
Rfam family: Bacterial small subunit ribosomal RNA
Source: RNAcentral
AUACGGAUGGAGCGAGCGUUAAUCGGAAUUACUGGGCGUAAAGCGUACGUAGGCGGUUCGGCAAGUCUGUCGUGAAAUCUCCCGGCUCAACUGGGAGGGGUCGAUGGAAACUGCCGGACUUGAGGGACGUAGAGGUGAGCGGAAUUCCCGGUGUAGUGGUGAAAUGCGUAGAUAUCGGGAGGAACACCAGUGGCGAAAGCGGCUCACUAGGCGUUACCUGACGCUGAGGUACGAAAGCGUGGGGAGCGAACCGGAUUAGAAACCCCAGUAGUCC